Molecule: ribosomal RNA, 406 nt
Filed under: uncultured bacterium
Lineage: Bacteria
Description: partial 16S ribosomal RNA
Rfam family: Bacterial small subunit ribosomal RNA
Source: RNAcentral
AUUGAACGCUGGCUGCAGGCCUAACACAUGCAAGUCGAACGAGUUUCGGUCGUUUGAGUAAUGUCUGAGCAACUGCCUCUUUGAGGGUGAUAACUACUGGAAACGGUAGUUAAUACCGCAUACCAUCGGCUUUUCCCAGAUUGGUUUAGCUAGUGGGUGGGUUAAAGGCUCACCUAGGCGACGAUCCCUAGCUGGUCUGAGAGGAUGACCAGCCACACUGGAACUGAGACACGGUCCAGACUCCUACGGGAGGCAGCAGUGGGGAAUAUUGCACAAUGGGCGAAAGCCUGAUGCAGCCAUGCCGCGUGUAUGAAGAAGGCCUUCGGGUUGUAAAGUACGUUCAGCGGGGAGGCGUUACCCGCAGAAGAAGCACCGGCUAACUCCGUGCCAGCAGCCGCGGUAAUUC